This 443-nucleotide ribosomal RNA is filed under the name Micromonosporaceae bacterium. Its description in RNAcentral is "bacterial SSU rRNA". It matches the Rfam family "Bacterial small subunit ribosomal RNA", at positions 421 to 874 of the family's 1533-position model. Lineage: Bacteria; Bacillati; Actinomycetota; Actinomycetes; Micromonosporales; Micromonosporaceae. The record is from RNAcentral.
GGUUGUAAACCUCUUUCAGCAGGGACGAAGCGAAAGUGACGGUACCUGCAGAAGAAGCGCCGGCCAACUACGUGCCAGCAGCCGCGGUAAGACGUAGGGCGCGAGCGUUGUCCGGAUUUAUUGGGCGUAAAGAGCUCGUAGGCGGCUUGUCGCGUCGACUGUGAAAACCCGCGGCUCAACCGCGGGCCUGCAGUCGAUACGGGCAGGCUAGAGUUCGGUAGGGGAGACUGGAAUUCCUGGUGUAGCGGUGAAAUGCGCAGAUAUCAGGAGGAACACCGAUGGCGAAGGCAGGUCUCUGGGCCGAUACUGACGCUGAGGAGCGAAAGCGUGGGGAGCGAACAGGAUUAGAUACCCUGGUAGUCCACGCUGUAAACGUUGGGCGCUAGGUGUGGGGGACCUCUCCGGUUCUCUGUGCCGCAGCUAACGCAUUAAGCGCCCCGCCU